CCUACGGGUGGCAGCAGUGAGGAAUAUUGGUCAAUGGGCGCGAGCCUGAACCAGCCAAGUAGCGUGAAGGAUGACUGCCCUACGGGUUGUAAACUGCUUUUAUAAAGGAGUAAAGUGAGGCACGUGUGACGUUUUGUAUGUACCUGAUGAAUAAGGAUCGGCUAACUCCGUGCCAGCAGCCGCGGUAAUACGGAGGUUCCGUGCGUUAUCCGGAUUUAUUGGGGUUAAAGGGAGCGUAGAUGGGUUGUUAAGUGAGUCGUGAAAGUGUGCGGCUCAACCGUAAAAUUGCAGUUGAUACUGGCAUUCUUGAGUACAGUUGAGGUCGGCGGUAUUCGUGGUGUAGCCG
RNAcentral lists this ribosomal RNA (346 nucleotides) under uncultured bacterium. RNAcentral describes it as "partial 16S ribosomal RNA". It matches the Rfam family "Bacterial small subunit ribosomal RNA", at positions 338 to 681 of the family's 1533-position model. The record is from RNAcentral.